RNAcentral lists this ribosomal RNA (500 nucleotides) under uncultured bacterium. RNAcentral's name for it is "partial 16S ribosomal RNA". It matches the Rfam family "Bacterial small subunit ribosomal RNA", at positions 30 to 523 of the family's 1533-position model. The record is from RNAcentral.
AUUGAACGCUGGCGGCAUGCCUUACACAUGCAAGUCGAACGGCAGCACGGAGCUUGCUCUGGUGGCGAGUGGCGAACGGGUGAGUAAUACAUCGGAACGUGCCCAGUCGUAGGGGAUAACUACGCGAAAGCGUAGCUAAUACCGCAUACGAACUCUGGUUGAAAGCGGGGGAUCGCAAGACCUCGCGCGAUUGGAGCGGCCGAUGGCAGAUUAGGUAGUUGGUGGGGUAAAGGAUCACCAAGCCGACGAUCUGUAGCUGGUCUGAGAGGACGACCAGCCACACUGGGACUGAGACACGGCCCAGACUCCGACGGGAGGCAGCAGUGGGGAAUUUUGGACAAUGGGCGCAAGCCUGAUCCAGCCAUUCCGCGUGCAGGAUGAAGGCCCUCGGGUUGUAAACUGCUUUUGUACGGAACGAAACGCGCCGGGUUAAUACCCUGGCGUAAUGACGGUACCGUAAGAAUAAGCACCGGCUAACUACGUGCCAGCCGCCGCAGUAA